UACGGAGGAUCCGAGCGUUAUCCGGAUUUAUUGGGUUUAAAGGGUGCGCAGGCGGGAAAUUAAGUCGGCGGUGAAAUUUUGCGGCUCAACCGUAAAAGUGCCUUCGAAACUGGUUUCCUUGAGUGUAGAUGAAGUAGGCGGAAUUUGUGGUGUAGCGGUGAAAUGCAUAGAUAUCACGAGGAACUCCGAUUGCGCAGGCAGCUUACUAAACUACUACUGACGCUCAGGCACGAAGGCGUGGGGAUCAAACAGGAUUAGAUACCCGGGUAGUCCCUGAG
This 278-nucleotide ribosomal RNA is filed under the name uncultured prokaryote. Its description in RNAcentral is "partial 16S ribosomal RNA". It matches the Rfam family "Bacterial small subunit ribosomal RNA", at positions 524 to 801 of the family's 1533-position model. The record is from RNAcentral.